RNAcentral lists this transfer RNA (71 nucleotides) under Bacillus mojavensis. RNAcentral's name for it is "tRNA-His". It matches the Rfam family "tRNA". From Rfam's summary of the family: Transfer RNA (tRNA) molecules are approximately 80 nucleotides in length. Their secondary structure includes four short double-helical elements and three loops (D, anti-codon, and T loops). The record is from RNAcentral. RNAcentral also lists the same sequence under 2 other names. Lineage: Bacteria; Bacillati; Bacillota; Bacilli; Caryophanales; Bacillaceae.
CAGGGCAUGGCGUAAUGGUAACGCAGGUGACUGUGAAUCACCGAAUGAGGGUUCGAUUCUCUCUGUCCUGA